Molecule: non-coding RNA, 96 nt
Filed under: Dehalococcoides mccartyi
Lineage: Bacteria; Bacillati; Chloroflexota; Dehalococcoidia; Dehalococcoidales; Dehalococcoidaceae
Description: Dehalococcoides ethenogenes TPP sequence
Rfam family: TPP riboswitch aptamer (THI element)
About the family: Vitamin B(1) in its active form thiamin pyrophosphate (TPP) is an essential coenzyme that is synthesised by coupling of pyrimidine and thiazole moieties in bacteria. The previously detected thiamin-regulatory element, thi box was extended, resulting in a new, highly conserved RNA secondary structure, the THI element, which is widely distributed in eubacteria and also occurs in some archaea. Analysis of operon structures identified a large number of new candidate thiamin-regulated genes, mostly transporters, in various prokaryotic organisms.
Source: RNAcentral
UAAACUCGCUAGGGGUGCUCCAGGCUGAGAGGCACAUAGCCAACCCUAAAACCUGAACUCGGUAAUGCGAGCGUAGGGAAGCGAACUUUGAGACCA